Molecule: ribosomal RNA, 361 nt
Filed under: Escherichia coli
Lineage: Bacteria; Pseudomonadati; Pseudomonadota; Gammaproteobacteria; Enterobacterales; Enterobacteriaceae
Description: bacterial SSU rRNA
Rfam family: Bacterial small subunit ribosomal RNA
Source: RNAcentral
UUAAAUUGAAGAGUUUGAUCAUGGCUCAGAUUGAACGCUGGCGGCAGGCCUAACACAUGCAAGUCGAACGGUAACAGGAAGCAGCUUGCUGCUUUGCUGACGAGUGGCGGACGGGUGAGUAAUGUCUGGGAAACUGCCYGAUGGAGGGGGAUAACUACUGGAAACGGUAGCUAAUACCGCAUAACGUCGCAAGAMCAAAGAGGGGGACCUUAGGGCCUCUUGCCAUCGGAUGUGCCCAGAUGGGAUUAGCUAGUAGGUGGGGUAACGGCUCACCUAGGCGACGAUCCCUAGCUGGUCUGAGAGGAUGACCAGCCACACUGGAACUGAGACACGGUCCAGACUCCUACGGGAGGCAGCAGUG